RNAcentral lists this ribosomal RNA (497 nucleotides) under uncultured bacterium. Its description in RNAcentral is "partial 16S ribosomal RNA". It matches the Rfam family "Bacterial small subunit ribosomal RNA", at positions 28 to 507 of the family's 1533-position model. The record is from RNAcentral.
GAUGAACGCUGGCGGCGUGCCUAAUACAUGCAAGUCGAGCGAACAGACGAGGAGCUUGCUCCUCUGACGUUAGCGGCGGACGGGUGAGUAACACGUGGAUAACCUACCUAUAAGACUGGGAUAACUUCGGGAAACCGGAGCUAAUACCGGAUAAUAUAUUGAACCGCAUGGUUCAAUAGUGAAAGACGGUUUUGCUGUCACUUAUAGAUGGAUCCGCGCCGCAUUAGCUAGUUGGUAAGGUAACGGCUUACCAAGGCAACCAUGCGUAGCCGACCGGAGAGGGUGAUCGGCCACACUGGAACUGAGACGCGGUCCAGACUCCUACGGGAGGCAGCAGUAGGGAAUCUUCCGCAAUGGGCGAAAGCCUGACGGAGCAACGCCGCGUGAGUGAUGAAGGUCUUCGGAUCGUAAAACUCUGUUAUUAGGGAAGAACAAAUGUGUAAGUAACUAUGCACGUCUUGACGGUACCUAAUCAGAAAGCCACGGCUAACUACGUG